UACAGAGGUCCCAAGCGUUGUUCGGAUUCACUGGGCGUAAAGGGUGCGUAGGUGGCUUGGUAAGUUUGAUGUGAAAUCUCCGGGCUUAACCCGGAAAUGGCAUUGAAUACUAUUGAGCUGGAGGUUUGGAGGGGGGACUGGAAUUCUCGGUGUAGCAGUGAAAUGCGUAGAUAUCGAGAGGAACACCAGUGGCGAAGGCGAGUCCCUGGACAACACUGACACUGAGGCACAAAAGCGUGGGGAGCAAACAGG
This 252-nucleotide ribosomal RNA is filed under the name uncultured bacterium. RNAcentral describes it as "partial 16S ribosomal RNA". It matches the Rfam family "Bacterial small subunit ribosomal RNA", at positions 524 to 776 of the family's 1533-position model. The record is from RNAcentral.